RNAcentral lists this ribosomal RNA (492 nucleotides) under uncultured bacterium. RNAcentral's name for it is "partial 16S ribosomal RNA". It matches the Rfam family "Bacterial small subunit ribosomal RNA", at positions 29 to 507 of the family's 1533-position model. The record is from RNAcentral.
AGCGAACGCUGGCGGUAGGCCUAACACAUGCAAGUCGAACGGCAGCACAGUAAGAGCUUGCUCUUACGGGUGGCGAGUGGCGGACGGGUGAGGAAUACAUCGGAAUCUACUUUUUCGUGGGGGAUCACGUAGGGGAACUUACGCUAAUACCGCAUACGACCUACGGUUGAAAGCAGGGGAUCUUCGGACCUUGCGCGAUUGAAUGAGCCGAUGUCGGAUUAGCUAGUUGGCGGGGGAAAGGCCCACCAAGGCGACGAUCCGUAGCUGGUCUGAGAGGAUGGUCAGCCACACUGGAACUGAGACACGGUCCAGACGCCUACGGGAGGCCGCAGAGGGGAAUAUUGGGCAAUGGGCGCGAGCCUGAUCCAGCCAUACCGCGUGGGUGAAGAAGGCCUUCGGGUUGGAAAGACGUUUUGUUGGGAAAGAAAAGCAGCAGGUUAAUACCCCGCUGUUCUGACGGUACCCAAAGAAUAAGCACCGGCUAACUUCGUG